This 497-nucleotide ribosomal RNA is filed under the name uncultured bacterium. RNAcentral describes it as "partial 16S ribosomal RNA". It matches the Rfam family "Bacterial small subunit ribosomal RNA", at positions 28 to 507 of the family's 1533-position model. The record is from RNAcentral.
GAUGAACGCUGGCGGCGUGCCUAAUACAUGCAAGUCGAGCGAACAGACGAGGAGCUUGCUCCUCUGACGUUAGCGGCGGACGGGUGAGUAACACGUGGAUAACCUACCUAUAAGACUGGGAUAACUUCGGGAAACCGGAGCUAAUACCGGAUAAUAUAUUGAACCGCAUGGUUCAAUAGUGAAAGACGGUUUUGCUGUCACUUAUAGAUGGAUCCGCGCCGCAUUAGCUAGUUGGUAAGGUAACGGCUUACCAAGGCAACGAUGCGUAGCCGACCUGAGAGGGUGAUCGGCCACACUGGAACUGGGACACGGUCCAGACUCCUACGGGAGGCACCAGUAGGGAAUCUUCCGCAAUGGGCGAAAGCCUGACGGAGCAACGCCGCGUGAGUGAUGAAGGUCUUCGGAUCGUAAAACUCUGUUAUUAGGGAAGAACAAAUGUGUAAGUAACUAUGCACGUCUUGACGGUACCUAAUCAGAAAGCCACGGCUAACUACGUG